CGCCCCGGGGCCCGCCGCCUCUUCCCGUGAGAGGUGGGGGGCGGGUCCGGCCGCGGAACCUGCGCCUGCGCCCGCGCUGCGGCCGCGGCGACCGGUUUUUCUGACCCAGCUGGAAGGGCCGGCGCAGGUGGCCUCGAGUGCGUGUUCCUCUUGGCCUCUGAUGUCUGCGAGGGGAAUUCAGCAACAGGGACUCCUGUCUGGUGCUCUGACCCCAGCUUCCUCAAUCCAGGCUCUAAAGAGGCGCCCUCAGCCGAGCCCCGGGGUCCCGCGGGCCGCGGACCCUCCCUCCCUUUCCCUGCUCUGCACCCCGGGCCGGCGCUCCGUCCUGGGCGGAUGCCCCUCUGCGCCCUGUGGGCCCGCGCCGGCGCUUGUCCCCGUCCCGACUUGGGUUGGCCAUCACCCUGCGUUGGGUCGGGGGCUGUGUUUGUGCUUUCUGGCAUUGUAUUUGGCCCCGAGCGCUUACUGGACACUCAAGAAAUGGCUGUCCCUUCUCUGGUUGCUGUCUGCUAGCCCUCUCACCAGCCUGGGCUCUGUCACUCGGCCUGUCUGCUUUAAGGAAUACUCAGUCUACCCCAGCACACUCCUUCUGCUUGAAGAGCGGGUGAGUUCUCUGAGUGUCUCUCCAAGCCCCAUCUCACAUCCUCUCCCCCUCUCCUGGCUUUCAGUUCACAAAGGGCUGCCCCAGGUCCUCCCAUGUACACAGAGGUGCUGCAAUUUCCAGAAGAAUCCUGGGGCCCGAAGAACCCACCCAGCAGGCAGUCGGCCCCAUCACCCCGCUGGCCAUUUCCUGGCCUCCCUAGGCCCUUCUCUCUACAAGCCCAGCUCUUGGGAACCCCGGCUCUUCCCUGCCAAAGGGGAAGGCCUCACCCCCACCUCUGUGACCCCAGGACAGUUUUGUUCCCCCUGCCUCAGCAGCUCUCCCACCUCUGGUAGGGUCAGCAGAUUCUCUCCUGCCUGUCGGGCACCCUGCUCCGGGCCACAUGAUCUGGGCCACGUCACAGCUACCCACAUAUCUGUUCCGUUGCAACCUGUGACCUCGUUUUCUAAGACAAGGCCGUAGGGUUUUCUCAUUUGCCCCAGAGUUACCUAAAGGGCUGUAGGGUGGUAGGCAGCCCCCACACCCUGAGGGCCAGGGCAUGAUCUGAUGUGGUCACCCAAGGCUUCUCAAGGGAGCGUCAUGAAAAAUUUCUGAGUUCCACAUUGUCGCAGAACAAAAUAAAACCCUAAUUGCUUCACA
This 1237-nucleotide long non-coding RNA is filed under the name Felis catus (domestic cat). Its description in RNAcentral is "lncRNA (ENSFCAG00000042607.2)". The record is from RNAcentral. Lineage: Eukaryota; Metazoa; Chordata; Mammalia; Carnivora; Felidae.